UAAUUUCUUAUAUAUAUAAAUAAUUUCUUGAGGUUUUCUUGCCGUGUCCCCAAGUAGAGUUGAAAAUGCUGGAUUUUCUACAAUGAAUAAUUCCAAGCAUGAUAAAAAAAAAUGCAGAUUUCAUGGACUGCAGUGCAAUUUGAACUGAAAUUAUACAAUGAAUUUUUCAAGCCUAACUUCACAGGAUGCAUGAAUAAAUUAUGUUUUGAACAAAACUUCACACUUCUUUUUGGAUUGAACCUAUUCCGUUAAGUUGCCUGUUGCAUAAAAUUAAUCAGAACGUAACCUGGGGCACUGGAAAUUUUCCUUUUUUUUUUUUCUUCUUUUUUCAAGUAUCCUUUCAUAUGCCCACACCAGUACGUGCUCAGUUCAGACUGGUCAAUUGAAAUAGCCCCCUUAAAUUGUCCCAGCAUUCACUCUUGCCAGCUCUGUUAGCCCAAACAGCAACAAUCCUCUAAUUCCUGUGUCCCUGUAAAUGACUGCUGCAGUAAAGCUUUAGAAGGAGUCAAGUUGCAUAGGGUUGCAUGCAGUACCGUUUCUCUGCUAACUCUUAUCUGUUCUCCCCAGUACUUCAGUGUAUUCUUCAGAUGUUAAAAAUGUGUCUGUAGCAGGCCUUUGGUACUGUGGUAUGCAGAUAAAUCGUGAGGGGUGCAUCUAGAUAAUAAGUGCUUCGUUUUCCCAGAGCAUUUGUGGAGAAGGAACUGCAUAAGCAUAAAAUAAAUAAAGAAAUCCUCGAUACCAAGUGUUUUUUUUGGAACAUUGAGAGUAGAACGUAGAGGCAAAAUUGAAGGUAAAAUAUUGUGCAAAACUGAACAAAAUGAGAGGAACUGCACGAGUCAUGCAAAAUGAUAAAGACGGAAGAGAGGACAUCUAUGACCCUCAUUUGUUCUUCACAAGUAUGCAUGUGCACCACGCAUUUCUGCUGUCAGAUGGAGUUGGAUGAUAGAAUGGAAUUAAAGCCUUUUGUGAAUGUCAUUGAACUGCAAUAAGACCUGGAAAUAAAGAGCUCCAGAGGUGCGUGGUGGUAAUGAGUUUGCUGGAAGGAUGCAGAUUUGGGGAUAGACAAGGAGCUCCUUGAAAUCCAGCUGAACCUGACUGGAAGAGAGAAAAGUAUCUCAAGCAGGCUUUGAUUGGGGCAUACGAAGCGGAUCGCCCACGUUUGAUCAAAGAGACCAGUUCUAUUCACAGGGAGGAAAUGGGGGAAGGUGCAUCUUCUGGACUCAGAACUCUGGAGAGAGUUGAAGCUCCCAGUGCAAGAGAGCACAAGGAAAGAGAUUCAUGUGGACACAGAACGAGAUAAUAUGUGCAUAGUUUCAAGUUAUGUAAAGCACUAAAUAUUCAGCAAUGUAGACCAAAGAGACAUUGGAAUCUCUCUGGGUCUUUAGACACCAAACUCCAUCUCUUCUCCCUACCUGCUGGCAAGCCAUCAGAAUAUGGUUCAGAACCUUUUACAGUUAGCUGCAAGAGGAAAAUAAAGAAUAUCACUACAUGUUUGCAUUAGUUUUUGGUGUGCAUAGGAGCAAGCAACAUACUGCACUGCUUUUGUUUGUAUGAUGCUAAAUAUCUGAAGCAUGACUGUUCUUACCUCUCAGUAAAACUUUUGAGAAUACUGUGACUUGUCUAAGAACACUGAUAUCAUUCCCAUUUUCAUGAGCUGUAUUUGAAAUGUAUAUGAAUUCUUGUUUACUCGUGAAAUAGCACAAAUAAAAAAAAAACC
This is a long non-coding RNA of Lagopus leucura (white-tailed ptarmigan), 1717 nucleotides long. RefSeq lists it as uncharacterized. NCBI's taxonomy places the organism in Eukaryota, Metazoa, Chordata, Aves, Galliformes, Phasianidae. The record is from RefSeq and is a predicted model, not a curated record. The transcript has 2 exons.